Molecule: ribosomal RNA, 98 nt
Filed under: Chloroflexota bacterium
Lineage: Bacteria; Bacillati; Chloroflexota
Description: partial 16S ribosomal RNA
Rfam family: Bacterial small subunit ribosomal RNA
Source: RNAcentral
ACCCGCAAGGGAGGCAGCCGCCUAAAGUGUGAUCGGUAAUUGGGGUGAAGUCGUAACAAGGUAGCUGUAGGAGAACCUGCGGCUGGAUCACCUCCUUU